UACGGAGGAGGCGAGCGUUGUUCGGAAUCACUGGGCUUAAAGCGCGUGUAGGCGGGGUGGUAGGUGUUUUGUGAAAGCCCUCGGCUCAACCGAGGAAUUGCAGGGCAAACCAUCAUCCUUGAGGCAGGUAGAGGCAAGUGGAACUAUGGGUGGAGCGGUGAAAUGCGUUGAUAUCCAUGGGAACGCCGGUGGCGAAAGCGGCUUGCUGGGCCUGUCCUGACGCUGAGACGCGAAAGCGUAGGGAGCAAACAGG
This 253-nucleotide ribosomal RNA is filed under the name uncultured bacterium. RNAcentral describes it as "partial 16S ribosomal RNA". It matches the Rfam family "Bacterial small subunit ribosomal RNA", at positions 524 to 776 of the family's 1533-position model. The record is from RNAcentral.